GGUGGCAGCAGCAAUGACUGGAGAAAGUGAAGGUGCCUAGGCUGCCAGUCAGCAGCAAUAACUGUGGUGGGCAUUACACCAGGAUGCUGGACAGCAAAUGACGGAAGGGCUUGGAAGGGAGGAGAAAAUAGAUGAUCUUGUCCGCAUAAUAAUACAGGGAAGAUGUAUAAAGGAAAGUAAGUGGUAAUGCUCUUGAAAGAUAAACAAUUGACUGCCUGUCACAAGUAAUUGAUGACUGAGAUCCUGAAGAAUGUGGCCAUGAUAAAAAAUACAUAUAGAAGAGUACACAUUCCACAUUCUCCUGACAUCUCGUUGCUUUCUUCUUUGCAGGAAUCUUUGCAAGAUCAAAUUAGAAGUAUUAUUUGCUGAAAGGCAAUAUUC
This 381-nucleotide long non-coding RNA is filed under the name Homo sapiens (human). RNAcentral's name for it is "HSALNT0168903". Lineage: Eukaryota; Metazoa; Chordata; Mammalia; Primates; Hominidae. The record is from RNAcentral.